Molecule: ribosomal RNA, 587 nt
Filed under: Papiliotrema laurentii
Lineage: Eukaryota; Fungi; Basidiomycota; Tremellomycetes; Tremellales; Rhynchogastremaceae
Description: partial large subunit ribosomal RNA
Rfam family: Eukaryotic large subunit ribosomal RNA
Source: RNAcentral
CGGCGAGUGACCGGGAAGAGCUCAAAUUUGAAAUCUGGCGUCCUCAGGGCGUCCGAGUUGUAAUCUAUAGAGGCGUUUUCCGUGCCGGACCGUGUCCAAGUUCCUUGGAACAGGAUAUCAAAGAGGGUGACAAUCCCGUACUUGACACGACGACCGGUGCUCUGUGAUACGUCUUCUACGAGUCGAGUUGUUUGGGAAUGCAGCUCAAAAUGGGUGGUGAGUUCCAUCUAAAGCUAAAUAUUGGCGAGAGACCGAUAGCGAACAAGUACCGUGAGGGAAAGAUGAAAAGCACUUUGGAAAGAGAGUUAAACAGUACGUGAAAUUGUUGAAAGGGAAACGAUUGAAGUCAGUCGUGACCGAGAGGCUCAGCCGGUUCUGCCGGUGUAUUCCCCUCGGUCGGGUCAACAUCAGUUUUGUCCGGUGGAUAAGGGCGGUAGGAAGGUGGCACCCUCGGGUGUGUUAUAGCCUGCCGUCGCAUACAUCGGGUGAGACUGAGGAACGCAGCUCGCCUUUAUGGCCGGGGUUCGCCCACGUCCGAGCUUAGGAUGUUGACAUAAUGGCUUUAAACGACCCGUCUUGAAACACGG